AGUGAACGCUGGCGGUAGGCCUAACACAUGCAAGUCGAACGGCAGCACAGUAAGAGCUUGCUCUUACGGGUGGCGAGUGGCGGACGGGUGAGGAAUACAUCGGAAUCUACUUUUUCGUGGGGGAUAACGUAGGGAAACUUACGCUAAUACCGCAUACGACCUACGGGUGAAAGCAGGGGAUCUUCGGACCUUGCGCGAUUGAAUGAGCCGAUGUCGGAUUAGCUAGUUGGCGGGGUAGAGGCCCACCAAGGCGACGAUCCGUAGCUGGUCUGAGAGGAUGAUCAGCCACACUGGAACUGAGACACGGUCCAGACUCCUACGGGAGGCAGCAGUGGGGAAUAUUGGACAAUGGGCGCAAGCCUGAUCCAGCCAUACCGCGUGGGUGAAGAAGGCCUUCGGGUUGUAAAGCCCUUUUGUUGGGAGAGAAAAGCAGCAGGUUAAUACCCCGCUGUUCUGACGGUACCCAAAGAAUAAGCACCGGCUAACUUCGUG
RNAcentral lists this ribosomal RNA (492 nucleotides) under uncultured bacterium. Its description in RNAcentral is "partial 16S ribosomal RNA". It matches the Rfam family "Bacterial small subunit ribosomal RNA", at positions 29 to 507 of the family's 1533-position model. The record is from RNAcentral.